Molecule: ribosomal RNA, 253 nt
Filed under: uncultured bacterium
Lineage: Bacteria
Description: partial 16S ribosomal RNA
Rfam family: Bacterial small subunit ribosomal RNA
Source: RNAcentral
UACGUAGGGGGCGAGCGUUGUCCGGAAUCAUUGGGCGUAAAGCGCGCGUAGGUGGCCCCAUAAGUCCGCUGUGAAAGUCAAAGGCUCAACCUUUGAAAGCCGGUGGAUACUGUGGGACUAGAGUACGGAAGAGGCGAGUGGAAUUCCUGGUGUAGCGGUGGAAUGCGCAGAUAUCAGGAGGAACACCAAUAGCGAAGGCAGCUCGCUGGGACGUUACUGACACUGAGGCGCGAAAGCGUGGGGAGCGAACAGG